Molecule: non-coding RNA, 4849 nt
Organism: Aegilops tauschii subsp. strangulata
Lineage: Eukaryota; Viridiplantae; Streptophyta; Magnoliopsida; Poales; Poaceae
Source: RefSeq, a predicted model, not a curated record
CUCCCCCGCCCUCGCAGCUCACCGCCGCCUCUCCUCCCCUCCCGCGCGCCUCCUCUCCCCUCCCCUCCCGUCCCGCCUCCUCUCCUCCCACCCACAUCGCCGCCGCCGCCACCCACCGCCUCGAACCGCGCCGGAGCAGCAGCAGCAGGCCAAGGCGGCGCAGCAGCAGGCCUUGGGCGACGAGCAGCAGUGGAGGGAGGACGAGGAGCACGACGGCGGCGGCGGCGGGGAGCGGCAGCAGCAGGCCAAGGCGGCGCUGCCCUUCUCCGCCAUGUGCAUGCGGAUCUCCCGCGACUCCUACCCCAACCUCCACGCCCUCCACAACGCCUCCAACGACAGCCUCACCAACGCCGCCUACGUCAAGAUCUCCGAGGGCGACUUCGGAUACGUCCUCGACGACGUGCCCCACCUCGCUGACUACCUCCCCGUGAGCAGCCACCCAUCCCCUUCCCUGCUCCUCCUCGCUCGACCGCUCGUCGGCUCGUGGCGAUGGGUUCUAUGCGGUGCAGCUUUAGCUAGCGACUGUCAGUGGGGCGGGCGUGAGCAGUGAAAUUGUCCGGCGCGGGCGAUUACCCUUUUUUGGCGUGCAAGCCUGAGAGCCUGCAGUGUUGCUGAUUAGUCGGCCACGAUCCGCAGAUAGAGGGCAACUCUGAUGAAUACGUACUAGCAAAGCUGUGCAAAAUCUGUGAAUUCUGUUUUCGUUCCUUACUGUUGGUGCCGUCUGCUUUUGGGAAUGGGAUUGUUGAUUAGGCAUCAGGCAACUCUGAUGAAUACUAGCAACUAUGGCUAUUCUGUGGAUUCAUAGUUCCAUAAGUUACUGUCGUUGGCUCUGCUUUUGGGAAUGGGAUAUUUGAUUGGGUAGAAUGGACGACAUCGAUACCGGAGAAGUAGUAAUCUGUUAGUAUCCUCCAGAAAAUCAUAGAGAAGGACGCCACGGUCUCAACAGGUGGGCAUCCAUUCUUCAGUCUGUUGAUUCUUUUGAAUUCACUGAAAUCACAUUUUGUACACGAGUUAGCUGCACUGGCCAAUGGAAGAAAAGAUAGCUAAUUGUGUAUGGAAUUCCUAAGUCUUUGUAUGUUCGUGCAGAAGGACGGCCUGCCGUCAAGUUGGACAGCAGAAUCAUAGAACUCUACAAAGUGUAUGGGUUGGUCAGCUCUUGAGCAAAUUCGCCAUAGUGACCGCCGAUGGCCUACAAGUCCAUCUCUUUCUCAAGCUCGAUUGCCUCUUAUUUUGCAGACUGAAAGGUGAGAUGAGGGGUUGUCAACAACAUCUAUGAAAUACUGGUUUGUGCCAUACUGCCCUAUUCUAAAUGGCCAUGUACAUCCUUGUAUCUUUGUCUGUGCCUUCAGUCAAAACAGACAAACAAUCUAAUGACCAAAAUAUACAAACAAUCUAUGCAAUACAGGUAUGUGCCCUGUUCUAAACAUACAAUGUCGACAAAACCAUAGGACUUGUCCCUCCCAUAGAUGCUUGUAUAAAUGUUACUCUCGCAUUUUUGUACAUGUCUAUCUAAAUUUGUCUUCUGUUAAAAGGACUCACCAGGUACCUUAAGAUCUCUAUAUUAUGGUCACACCAUAUCAAACGUUUCAGAUUGCAAUGCAUCUACUUCUUGACUGGAUCUACCAUAUUAUACUGAAAUAACUAUAAGAUGAAUUAUACCUGCUGUGAUUUUUAUUUUAUUUUUGUGAAAUAUUCUCUUCAGAUUGCCGCGCGCCACCCGCCCUUCGCAUGUGUAAUCACUUAAAGUAAACUGUCUUUUAAAUUGAAUUCAUUAUUCCAAGACACCCUGAAUAUAAUUGAGCAGAACACAAAACCAAACUCCGAGCAAGAGAUUUCAGUAGAGCUAUGAGCCUAAGUAGAAAUUGUGGAGGAAACUAGGUAAAAAAAUGUUGCACAUUGAUAUGUUUUUUUGGGUAAAUAGGCCUAUGGUAGCAUCAUUUAUAGGUAAUUAUAAACAAAAGGGCAAAAUAAGCUUUGUUGUUAUAUGCUGUUGAGUUUUUAAUGGCUAUCAAACACAGCAUCAUGCUUGUGUGUCUUCUUAUAAACACACGCCUUUGUUGUUUCUCGCCGUUUUCCUUUAAAUUACGUAUAUAUGUACAUGGAAUGCUUCUCCCUGUCAAUAACUAGAUCCCCCCUUGUUUGACAGGUUAAUUAAUCCUACAUUUCAGUAUCAACCAACAUCUGUUCCUUCUUGAGCUCUCAACCCUGGGGUACACCUCCAGGUCAAGGCGCACCUCUUGUCUCAUCGAUGAUGCAGCCCCUGGGCAUCACUCGCUCUCAGCUAGCUAGGUAAGUACUGCAGGGACUCUGCUGCAUUUCAAUCACUUGAUGUUUGUCUACCAUGGAGUAGAGUUUAAGACCGCCCCGCAUGAUUUGAUGAUAUUCUUUUUUGAGCAUCGGCUCUGGUGCAUUCUUACUCACCACCGGGUACUUUGAAGCUAAUAAUGUUCCAGAUUGGUGGCAUUCUGUUUGAAGCAUGCUGGUUUGGUUUUGCAGCAGUUUUAACUUAAAUAGUGGUUCAGUUUUGCCUUCAAUAGUGGUUUUGCAACUAAUUAUUUGUUGAUCUAUUGGUUUGAUUGGAAACAGGUGGGGUCUUCUGUGUGAGCAGACUACCUAUAAGAAUCGUCAGCGCCUUUACCUAUCAGAGCAGGUACUAAUCUUGGUGUGAGCUCAAGGCAAUAGGCAAUUAUGAAGGUAGGCAAUCGUCAUUAGCCAGGUAGUUGGACAUGGUCUAGUCUCUUAGCAUAAUCUAAAAGUAUCUAAUGCAGUACUCAAUAUUAGUAGUCAUUUGAAAAAUAUGCCAGUGUCUUGUUUGUCAUGUCCAUUCUAUUAAUCUAGAAGAAACCGAGAGCAUACACUCACACUUUCAUCGAACCCAAAUUGUUAACCUGGGAUAAGUAGAUAUCAGUCACACUUUGUUCUUACUUUUCUGGCUUUUCUAUGUUCUUACUUUUUUUGCACUUUCCUUCCAUUUCCAUAGAUGCCAGGGCUGGUUGCCUUGUGUACCAUGGUGAGAAGUAGCACCAGUAGGUCGGCUCAGUCCCAAUGGCAAUGUUCUUUGUUAUUUUUUUAUUAUUCAACCACAUACAUUUGUCUCUUCCUGAUGGCCUUGGUAACUUGAAAAUCUGCAGUGCCAUAUUGGCUCCCUCUGCCGAGCACCAUGGAGGAGGUGAGCGGUUGUCUCUAGAAUCCUUUUUCAUCCUGUGAUACUUACUGUUCUGCCCUUGGAUGGUCAAUCUUGUUGAGUGAUAACCAGGGCAGCUCAACUGUAUAAACAGAUUGAUCUGGUGAUAAGAGAUGACGGGGGUAGGUUAUAUGAUCGAGGAAAUGCGAAUCUGAGCCCACUAUGCAUUGAACCCUGAACCCUUUUUAUUUGUAUUUAAAGGUGUUGCUUAUUUAUGCUCCAGUGUUUAUAGCCGUCUUAUGUAAAGAUUUCUUCUCUCUCAUACCUUUAUUGCAUAUAAGUUGUUCUUGAUCUUUUGAUCUUUCAAAGAUGCUUAUAUGGUAGUAUAGAAAGUUUCUGAUUAUGACACCAUAUUCAUUGAACUUGAUCUGUUAUGUGAUUUAAACUUUGCUUUUCCCAAUCACCAUGUGUUUUCCAAAAUUACUAUUAAAACAACUUUGUUCUUCCUAGAGUACCGGCAGCAACCACAUCAUGAAAGGGUCGAGGGGAAGAUGAUCUGAUAUGUGUCACUGAAAGCGAAGCUCAAGCCAUUUUUGUCGUUGUAUGACAAGGCUGUCGAUGUCAUCACUGAGCCUCCUUCUUUGCUUCAGAGGCUUAUUGUGCUGCUAUAGUUCUCUGUCUCUUGUCCACUCGCCCAUCGUAGUGCAAAUUUGCACUUUACUUGAACUUUGUUGUGAUGAGAGAUUCAGUUUCUUUGGGCAAAAGGUCUGGCCAAACAAAUAAAUGCAUGAUAUUUAUCUUUUGGUUUCUACCAUACCAAAGCAAGGUAUUUCACGUCAUAUUUUAUAACAAAUGCGUCGAUGGCAUGCAUAUAUAGGGUCAUCUUUUUAGAUAUAUUUUACGGGGUGAUUACUACUGUGAGUAUCUACCAUCACCUACUCAGAUAUAUUUCCAUCCUGAGAUAUAUUGAGUAAUAUCAGAUGUUAAUUGAAAUAUUUAUAUCAGAGGUUUGAUCAUUGAACUUAGUUGAUUAAUACCUUGAUACAUUUCUAUCCUAAGAUAGUCCCUACAUUUCCAUCCUGAGAUACCUAUUUUUUUCUAGUACCGGGUUAGGAAAAACGGGAUUCUGUGGGAGUUGGGGUUGGGCAAGUAGCACCACUUUGAUUAAGUCCACAUCAUAAUUGAGAGGCAUUGUAGUAGUGGGUCAGUUCAUAGAAAAUGCCAUGUUUUAUAUGCAAUGCUUCAAUGGUUGUAUUACCGGGUUGGAUGAGUGCACCUGGAUACGGACAAGAGACCAACAAUAACAAACAAUUGGUCAAGAUCUGUCAAAGCGGCAGGGAUCAGAGAGUAUCAUAUGUGUCUUUGCUUUCAAAAUUGAAAAGGGGAACCAUCACUCCCUGGUUAUAAGCUUUAAAAGGCUAAGGUACAAAAAUGCAAGUGCAUUUUUUGUCUACACAUAAAUUGGUCUAUGCAAUAUAUCUAACACAUUGCCUGCAUCAGGUUAAGUGACGUGCCAUCUAUGAAGUUGAUCGAGAAGGCAGCCGAAUGAAGCAACUAAGUAGUAUGCCUAAGAAGCUAUGGCUACGUAGUUUUUAUUUAUUUAUAUUGUGUUCCUGCUCUUGGUACUUCCUCUCUCAUAUUCACGCUCUUAGUACCGAGCUUAAUAUCAAGUGGUUACCUUUUGUGGUCUCAUGAACGCACUAAAUUGAAUGCUGCCUUAUUUCU